AGAAAGGGAUGCACCACAUCGCAGUUAGCCCUCGCCUGGGUACACCACCAGGGUGAUGAUGUUUGCCUGAUUCCCGGCACGACCAAGAUCGAGAAUUUCAACUAGAACAUUGGAGCUCUGUCAGUGAAGCUUACACCGGAAGAGAUGGCCGAGCUUGAAUCGAUUGCUUCUGCAGACAGUGUCAAGGGUGGCAGGUACGAUGGAAGCAUGUCUACAUGGGAAAACUCCGACACUCCACCCCUUUCUUAAUAAAAUUAUGUGUUUUUCUAGUAAGGGAUGUUGCGAAAACUUUAUUGUCUUUUGCAUGCGUAAUUAUAACUAUGAGUGUAACUAUGCGUAAUUACAACAUGUGGCGUCACACAAUCCUCAGCACUUGAAUUGGGGUCUAUCAAGGUAGUGCUUGAGUCUAUGAUGCUCAAGCUCUAUUCAAUAGCACUUAGGCUCGGGUCCGCAAAGAUUGUGCAUCAGUCCUCAAUGCUUGAGGUCGGCUCGUUAGUUAAUAAAACGUUUGUUCUUAUAAAAAUAAUUAUUUUUAAAAAAUCUAUUUUUUUAUAUUAUUUGUUUUCUUUCUUUUUAUUUUCCUUCUUCUCGGCUAGUUGCCAACCAUGGCGCCGAUUGCGCCUGAUAACAAGCACCGGAUGAGCUAGCCCAAGGCCAAGAAGACUUGAGAUUGCUGAUUUGGCAAGCUUGAAGCUGGUCAAGUGCAAGCUCGAGUUUCGCCCCGUGGCUAGUCGCCAACUACCACCGUGGCUAGCGUUCGGUCGAGGAAGAAGAAAAAGAAAAAUAAGUAAAAAUCUGAAUAUUUUGUAAUCUUCUAUAGGGAAAUCAAAUAAGAUUUUUCAUAUUAAACGAUAAAAAAUAUUUUCUAGUUUAUUUUUAAGACUUAACCAAAUAUUGAAAAUGACUUUUUGUAAAAUAUUAUUCAAAUAUGUCAUAUUUUUUGCGAAACAAACGGUACAUAAAUUUAAAUUUGAUAAUUGUCCUUGUUAAUUUGGUACACAUUAUCUGUCUCUUUGUUUUGUUGCUGAACUGAUGCUAAUCUCUAGAUGAAGCUUGACUAGUUUCAAUAGGCGGCUUGACUUUUGCGCUUCCUUUUUUUUAAAACCCAAAACACUCAAAACUUUCGUGAUACACGACUUUCGACAUGCAGAGUUACAAUCACUUCAAAUAAUUUAUCUGAAAAUUGUAUAGUGGGCCAUCCGAGAAAGGUGAGGGCAACUUGUCCCCCUAGAAAUUGUCAUGACGUGGAACUCUUGACAUGAAUUGAAGUGACUUUUGUUAAGAGUUAACUAGUCAAGAUCGGGCCACAUCUGUCCAUUCAUGUCCGCCACAUCCGGCCCCUCCAAUCGGACUCCCCGGCGAAAAGAUUCACGGACACGUGGCUGGAUCUAGAAAGUCACGGGUUUGACUUGUCUUUUGUGUCACUAUCAAGAAUGUGCAUGGUCCGGACGGGCGAUUCCCGACCUAGAAUCGGGAACUGCUUGCUAAGGACCGAUUCCAAAACAUUGAAACGGAGAUCCACCAGUUAGUUGAAUGAAUCCACUUGGGAACCAGAUCGCUGAUUCAGUCCGAUUUCUAGGUGGAUCUAUGGAACCGAUCUUGACGCUAAAUAAUUUUAUUUUCAAUAUAGAACGACUACGUGAUUUCCAUAACAACAGCUGGAGAGGUUGUAGAAGGAUAUCAUGGUAGGCACUUACGAUAAUCGUGAGGAAAUGAUAGCAAUUUUGGUUAAACUUGUUUUCUAUCAUGGCUAUCAUGGGUCGAAUAAAAUUUUGCAAGCAAAUUUCGUGUCCUAGGCAUUUUUUUUCUCUUAGGUGUGAUGCUUUAAAAACCCUCUAUGUGAUGCUUAGGAACCUUUGUUUGUGAUGAAGCCUAAAGAUUUAUUCCUUGUUGUGGACUUGUUGUCCUACAUCAAAAUCUCUCAGUCAAACUUUUUUGCUUUGUUUUGGUAAGUCUGUAUAAGGUAUAUUACAGAAGUUGCAUUACGAGAUAUUUCUUCCUUAUUGUCUUUUUAGUUUAACUAAGGCCAAAUUGUUUUGGCAUUUUUCCAAGCAUUUCAUUAUGGAAUGAUGAUAAGAAGCGAUCUUGACUUAAUGCUUUUAGUUAUUUGAUUUGGAUUUAUUAAUUAGUAAUUUCAUUUUUUAAUAUUAAAAAUUAAUAUAUUAUUUUAAUAUAAUCGGUUCGGUCUAGGUGGGCGGGUAGAUAGAUCCGCUCAUGGAACUGGGAACCAGACUGGUACUCACCGGUUCCCAUAAAUUGGAAUCGAGAACCGGACCGGUUCCCUUAAAAACUACCGGUUCUGGGCGGUCCAAGCGGGUUUCGGUUAUUUUGCACAAAGAAUUAAAAAUUCAAUUUUUUUUAAAAAUAUUUUAAAAAGAAUUAUAAAAAUUUUCAUUAAAUUUGUAUUGCAUAAAAAUGUUUUAACAAUACUUUUUUUUAAAUAAAAAAAUCAUAAAAACGAGCUUUUUAAGGGUUAAUUAUUUUUUUUAUGUUAUUGUUUUUAGUUAUUCAAAGGUAUGUUUACUUCAAAUAAGGGAAGCAUGUGCAUAGUUUAAUUCUUUAUAAAUAUUUAAAUGUUUUUUUAAACUUUUCUUAUUUUAUUUUAUUUUCUAUUUUUAAUUUAAUUUGAAGAUUUAAUCUAAUUAGCAUAUAAUAGAAGUGGAUUUUCCUAAAAUAUUAAGAGGUUUUAGCAAUACGAGUUGGAUCGGGUAUGUGUCGGGUAUAUAUGAAUAUGGAUCAGAAUAAGUUAAAUAGAUCAAAUAUGAGUUCAUUCGUUUUCGACCGGACUCAAAUCCGGCUUGAUCCGGUUUCGACCCAACCCAAAUCCGACUCGAUCCACUCAUUUAACGGGUCUAGAUUGAAUUGACGUAAGCACGUGCGUCUUCGUAGCUACUGCCGCUCCCCUCCUAUAAAUCUCGGCUCGCCCGACAUCUUAGCCAUCGUCACGGUGCAGUGCAGGGAACGAGCGAGCUCGAGCUAGACGACGGCAAUGGCAGCGUCGACGACGACGGUGGGGAGGAUCAAGCUGGGGUCGCAGGGCAUGGAGGUGUCGGCGCAGGGGCUGGGCUGCAUGGGCAUGUCCAUCGGCUACGGCCCUCCCAAGCCCGACCCCGACAUGAUCGCCCUCAUCCACCACGCCGUCGGCUCCGGCGUCACCUUCCUCGACACCUCCGACAUCUACGGCCCCCACACCAACGAAAUCCUCCUCGGAAAGGUCGGUUCUCUCAGUCUCUCUUUUGCCUCCGCAUGAAUCAUACGUGCUUAUAGUGUUACGGAAUUCAGCUUCAUCGAGCAGGAUGCUCCGAUCCUGCGCCUUGGUUUUCUGAUUUCGGGGUUGAUUUUGAGCAGGCACUGAAGGGAGGGGUGAGGCAGAAGGUGGAAUUGGCGACCAAGUUCGGAGUCAGCUUCGCGGACGGGAAGAGGGAGAUCCGGGGCGAUCCGGCGUACGUGAGGGCUGCUUGCGAGGCCAGCUUGAGGCGGCUCCACAUCGAUUGCAUUGACCUCUACUACCAACAUCGCAUCGACACUCGCGUCCCCAUCGAAGUCACUGUAUGGAUCCCACAUCAAACCUUUACCUCUCUCGGGACUUUCUCCGAGUGAUCAGUUGCUAAAUUAGAAUGGUGUUGAUGAUGCAUCAUCAUCAAGAUAUCGUUAAAUGUGACUUGAGUUCAGAUGAUAGCAGAGUUCAAGAUGUGGCACGGUGUUGUUCAAGGGAUUGCGGAAUUUAGUAGUUUAUAUGGCUUGAGUUUUUGUUUUAUGGGUCAACAAGCAUGAAAAUUAUUCGAAAUCCAGGGUUCACCCUGAUUUAUAUCUGAGAAUCACAUUUGAAGUUGUUCCUGGACUUUCUGCGCAGACAUUUGGUUCUUGACUUGUCAUUGUGAAAUAUGACAAGUACUUGGAAUACUUCUUUAAUUUGCCUUCUUCUGUGAUAGAUUAGAGAGAUCCAUUUCCGUUAACGAUACCUUGCCAUUUUCUUGUUGCAUUGAGAUGCAUAAAGAUUGACUAUUUUUUGCUAGGAGCUACCUAAUCAAAUUGUAAUGUUUGAGAAGUCAGGGAACACAAACUAUUCAGGCAUCAGGACACAAGAAAAACUAAUGAUGUUCAAUAACUUCUGGAUCUUAACACGUAAGAUUUUGACGAUUGUUGUUUUGUCAUGUGAAUAUGCACAGGUUGGAGAGCUAAAGAAGCUCGUUGAAGAGGGUAAGAUAAAGUACAUCGGUUUAUCCGAGGCCUCUGCAUCAACAAUCAGAAGAGCACAUGCUGUUCAUCCCAUCACAGCAGUGCAAUUGGAGUGGUCGCUUUGGUCAAGAGAUGUGGAGGCAGAGAUCAUUCCCACGUGCAGGUAGGAUAUCACUGUUUAUUUGUUUAUGCAGUAACAACAUCUUUCUUCUGACUCUGCUCUUCCUUAAAAUGUUGACUAGGGAGCUUGGCAUUGGAAUUGUUGCCUACAGUCCUCUUGGACGAGGAUUCUUUUCUGUUGGCUCCAAGUUGGUGGAGAAUCUCUCUAAGGAUGACUUCAGACAGGUCUGUUUCUGCUGGUUAACAUAAUUAGAUGCUCACAGUUACUGUCAUUCCCAUUGAAGUGCUGGAAACCUGUUCUUAUUCUAUAAAGAAAAAGUUUGUGACACGAAUGCUUCAUAUUCUUAUUCGAUCCAGCACUUGCCAGUCAUCCCACCUCUCGUGAUUCUAGAUAAAUUUAAAAAUCACAAGUAAUGGCUUUAAUGAGCCUGAAAGGGGCAGUUUUCUGGAUUCUCGUGCUUUUGGGAAUGAACAAAUAUAGGUUUAUUUGUAAGUUGCUCCGUUUCCCAGCUUUCCCACCAUUUGCUUAUCACUAUCCUUUCCCCACUUUCCACCCGCCCUUUUUCUCUCAUAUCUCUUCACAAGAUUAGCAAUAUUUGCUCAAAAUAACCGAGACCAGUAUCGGGCCUUGGCCUCCGUCCUUUUUGUUUCUCAUCUUUCUUCACAAGAUAAAUUAUAUCUUGACACAACCAUUUCUUGAGCGAGGACUCCCUAACACCCUUCUUAUGAGAGUGUUGGGAUCAAGUUCCCAUCUGACAUAAAGCCAAUUGUGUAUUACUCCUGGCCAUUAGUGUUUGAGUAGCGAUAGUGCUGGGCAAGUGAAGUAGCUAUUUUUCUUUGUAGCUAAAUGAGCUUUGCGUCUGAUAACAUUCUUCUACACGUCAUCUACCUUUUGUGAUUUUUUUUUCUUAUGUGUGACUAAUGUUACCAUCACACGUACAAAACUUAGAUUGUCUAGUUUGUUUCUGUUUUCACUUCCUACAUCAAACCCAUCAGCCUUGUGUGGUAGUUGCUAGAUCACUUCGCUCGACGUUUCUAGUUCUUAUGAUUUGGGGCUAGGUAUUUUAAUCAUUUCAAGAUAAUCAUAACUGAUCAUGCUUUUCCAGGUACACAACAAUUGUGCACUUCUAAAUGCUUAUUAGGUCAAGUAACAAGGCAAUCUGUUGGCAUGCAAUGCGAUCACUUUUGCACCUUGCUGCUGUAGAAUUUGGCCUUAAAAGGAAAAUGAUAGUUGCUCAUAUGCUUUCUGCUGAGACAUUGCUCUAUGUUAUGCAGAACCAACCAAGGUUCCAGCCAGAGAACUUGGCUCACAACAUGAAGUUAUUUGACCGAGUGAAUGAAAUUGCGCAAAGAAAGGGAUGCACCACAUCGCAGUUAGCCCUUGCCUGGGUACACUACCAGGGUGAUGAUGUUUGCCCGAUUCCCGGCACGACCAAGAUCGAGAAUUUCAACCAGAACAUUGGAGCUCUGUCAGUGAAGCUUACACCGGAAGAGAUGGCUGAGCUCGAAUCAAUUGCUUCUGCAGACAAUGUCAAGGGUGGCAGGUACAAUGGAAACCUCUCUCCAUGGGAAAACUCCGACACUCCACCCCUUUCUUCUUGGAAACCUGCCUAGAAACAUGUCUACUUCUGUUGCUGCGUCUUUGAUAUGCAGAGUUUGUGCAUUUGCCGCUGAAGUAAUUUGAGGCUAUGUUGUGUGGCUGUUAUAAGUACGUGUAAUAAGAGAGUGACUGUUUUCGUUUUGUACAUGUGACAUUCACUAUGAGAAGAUUAUGGAUAUGUUCUAAGCUUACUGGGGAAAGAUCACCCGCUAACACGAGAGCAAGUUUUUUAUGAACCGAGCUUGCCGUGCCGACUUUAUCGGGGUGACUUUUAGAAUAUGAGAAAUUGGGAUUUUGAAGAAUUCAAACUCAGUCAUACAUACUAGAGUGAUGCUUUAUUCUCCUCCAACUAGUCUUGGUCCAGUUUCCAGAGAGAUUAGGUCGAUCCUUGGUCCUAGAAUUUCAGGACUAGCACUGUGCGGGUCGAUUCUUAGUCCUAAGAGUUCUAGGUCGGUCCAAUCCAAACCAACCUUAUAUAUAUAUAUAUAUAUUAUUUAUAAUUUUUUUAUAUAGAGAAAACCUUAAAACAAACGGCGUCAAUAACAUUAAAGAGUUAUUUAGUAAAGAGUUCAAGUAAUUUUACAUUGUUCUUUAAUAUUUUAGAUUUUUAAUGUCUUUUACGAUAUUAAUAGUCAUAAUUUACGAAGGAGGAAAUUGUUUUUGUAAGGAGUCCUCAUGAUAUCUAAAAAGGUAUAAAUGGCAUCAUUCUUUAGUAUUCGUUCUCUUUGGUUUUAUUCGUUCUCUUAAUUAUCAAUUUGCCAAAAUUGAAAGAAGCAAUCGCUCACUUUGGGUCACUCCUGCCGCUCGCCGCUUAAUGCUCGCUUGGCUUGUUGCUCCAUGCUCGAUAUUCGAUAUUUAUUCUGUUCGACGCUCACCCCACUUGACUCUCGUUGCUUGCCUUUUUUAGUUGACCUUGCUCAUCAUCGAAUCCAUUAGGUCAAUAUGGUCCUCAGUUGCUUUUUCAAGGAUUACAAAAAAUGAAAUAAAAAAUUAUUAAUUAGUCCUAAGUUGACCUUGAAACCAGACCGAACCCAUUGGGUCCGUUUGAUCUUCAAUCGCUUUUUUAAGGUGUACAAAAAAUGAAAUAAAAAAUUAUUGGUUGGUCCCGGGUUGACCCUAGAACUGGACCGAACCCAUUGGAUCAGUUCGGUCAUUGGUCCUAAGCUUAAUAGGGUUGGUUCUCGGUCCAAAAAACUGAGGACCAGCAUUGUGUGAGUUGGUCAUAGGGUUAGGGGGUGAACCGGCCCAACCUGGACCAUACUCACUCCUACCUCUAACCAUGAGUUCAAUACUAGCACCAUGUGCAACAUACUCUUAGGACUGGAUGCUACACAUAGAUACAACGCUUCGCUUUGUGUUUGGUUUCGUAGCGAAGUAAAGGAACAGUAAAAUGCUAUUGGAUGUUCUCGCGAAAAUGAAGUUUGGGAUAAAAUGUUGGCGCGGUUGAUAUGAGUGUCGAGGAAAUCGAAGGUUUCUUGUUCAAGUUUAACCACCUACGGUUCAUGAGCUUUUAUGUAGCUCAAUACCUUCGCUCAUGCCUCUGCAUUAUUAUAAAACAGUCGGAGAUAUUGCGCAAGUUUCCUAAAAUUAAAAACAACAAUUCUAUUGUUUUUUAUUUGGAGUUAGAGUGGAGCAAUGUCGUUUUGUUUUGAUUUAGGAAAAUAACGCAAAUAGUCAUUGAACUUUGGUCCAAUGUGUUAUGUUCUUAUUGAACUUUUAAUUUAUUUAGUAUGACUGUCGAACUUUUUAUACAUGUUUAAUUUAGAUCCUAGGCUAGAUAAAUCCAACGAUGCUGUGUUUGGUCGUUCGAACAUCUUUGCUGUAUGGGAUAAUGAAUGGAUGAAAAUCCCAUCUAAUAUUUCUUGACGUCUGGAUAUAGCAUGAUUCAAAAUAAAUCUUUUUUUUUUUAAAUGAGUGUUUGAUUUGUAUAAUUAAAAUUAAAAAUAAACCAUGGAAGUCGUGAAUAGUAUUCAUCCUUUCACAAUCUUCAUCGAUAUUAAACACCCCCGUUCCAUGUGACUUCAAGGACGCUCUCUCCUUCUGCAACGCCCCUUUCGCUGCCCUUGAUCAACUUGAUGGAUUACGCUCGCUCUACCUUUGACUUCGCCACAUUGAGAGGCCCUUGGGUUUGAGUUCUCCGCUGGUCUAGCCAUCUUUACUUCGAAUGCCUUUUCCUGCGAUGAAUCCAUCCCCUUCGACGAGUGCGAAUACUGCGUUGAUUCCCUGUUACCGUGCCCCGACUUGUUCAGUCGCUUCAACAGCUUCCCCCGAGACAGCGUGCGGAUCCGGUUUAUGAGUGGUAGCACCAUCGGUGCUACUCGCUCCGAGUGACGUGGUUGAAGAGCUCUAUCACCUUGGCUGCCGCCUCUUUCGGAUCAUCUUCUUCACAGAGAAGAUGUCCAGCUUUGAUCGGGAUCACAAAGUUCCCUACUAAAAUGGAGUUAAGUGACAUAAGAAAGAGGCAGGGCUGACGAGCUCCGACGCCACUUUUCCGAGGCAGCCAAAGGUGGUAAGCAGCUUGUCACUGGUAGGAGGAACGGUGGCCCUUAGACUUUGCUCAGGUCGUUGUGGCGAGGGCUUCUCUAGGUAUCUUCGCGAUACUCAUGCUCUAAGUUUGUGGUGGUCAUUUUAGUGAGAGAAAUUGAAACAAGAGAGAUGAUGCGGCACCGGUCAAAAGUGAGGAUAAGCCAUCAACAAGCGCAGGAGUGGGGGAAAAACUUGUAUCCCUUAUUUUUUUCAAUUUUCCAAAUUUCACAUAUCCUAUUUGGAUCUAUAUCACUUUCUAGAUGAGAUUUUUUAUCCGGACUAUAUCCAAAUUUCACGUUACUCUAAACACCGGAUAUGAUCAAACUUAUCAUAUCAGAGUUUUAUUCGGCCCAUCAAAGACAGACUUAUGAGAUAGAAUGCAAUGAUAUAAUCUAUGAAUUAGAUUAAACAUUUAUUAAAAGUUUAAGAAUAAUAUUUCACAUUUUGAUUGUUAGGAUGCACGAGUGAGUUAUGUUAAAACAAUCCCACAAUAUAUUGAUAGCUUUGUAAUAAGGCUUUCUCUUGGUGAUGACAUAGAUCCAUAUGGAGAAAUUAAUGGGAGGGUUUAUUUGGCCUAACUAAAUGGGAGGCUAUAUCAAUCGGAGCUUUUUCAUUGUAACAUUCCCUUGUGCUUGGUAUUUGUAUUUUAGUAAAAGGAUUUUGCUAGCAUAAUAAUCUUUGGGUUAUCAUGAGAAUAACAAUUUAUUAUGAUUUACAAAAUUUUAAAAUAGUAAACCUCAAUUCAAUUUUAAACUUUUUUUUUUCUAACUAAUUCAAUCCUAAAUAUUUUGCAUUUGUGACAAUUUAGUCUAUUCGGCCAUUUUUCGCCAAGAGGCAUUGAUGUGAACUUUGGCUGAUCGACCAAUGCUGACAUGGACAAUUUUUUUAAUAAUAUUUUAUUUUUCUUAUUUUUUAUUAAUUUUUUCUUUCUUUUUUUCUUCACUUCCUUCUCCUUCCUCCAGCCAGUCGGCAAGAGGCAAGGUUGGUGAGGGACCUUGCUGGCCUUGAGGAAGCUUGGCCAUGGUUGGGCAACCUUGCUCGUGGCUAGGCGACCUCGCCGAGGCCGCCGAUUGGGCUGGCGAGGGUUGACCCUCGUUGGCCAUAGGUCAGGACAAAGGCUGCUAGUUGGGCUUGCCCUUAUUGAAUCUGGUGAGGGUUGAGUCUCAUUGGCCAUGGGCAAGGUCAAAGGCCGCGACCUCUCGUGGUCUCUGGCGAGGCUUGCCAAAGGUUGAGCAAGGCUUACCCUCAUUGGACUGACGAGGGUUGAGCCUCGUCAGCCAAGAGCGAGAUCGUAACUUGCCCAUGGCCGGUGAGGCUCGCCUAGGCCAAAGACAGGCGGGGCCUUGCCUAACCAUGGCAAGGGUGGCCUCACCAUUGUUGGGUGAGGCUAGCCCUUGCCAGUGGCGUGUGGGGGUAAGCCUUGCCAUUGGUUGGCAAGGCUGACUUCACUGGCUUGAAUAAAAUAAAAUAUUAUUAAAAGAUUAUUCACAUCAAUAUUAGCCGAACGAGUGGUGCUCGUCGGCCAAAAUUGGCCGGAUGAAUUGAAUUAGUAUAAUUGCAAAAUGUUUAGGACUGAAUUGGCUAGAAAAAAAAAAGAUUUUAAGACUAAAUUAGAAAAAUUGCAAUAAGUUUAUGAUUGUUUUGGUAAUUUUUUCGUAUAAUAACCCUAGUAAAGAUGACUCACUUAAUUUGAGCGUCAAUAAAUCAAAGGUCACUUGUUUAGUUCUCACAACUUAUUUGUAAAUCACUUUAGAAGUGCAAAUCCAAUCAAUUUAUGAGCUUGCAAAAUGAGUCUCUAGAUAAACCAACUUUUGUAUUCGUGCUUCAGGAUUAUAAUAAAAUAUUAGAGGUUUUCAUCAGUGUAUCAUGAUAGGCUAGAUAGGGCGUUUUCUUUUGCACUUGUCAUACAUGAUCAUUUUGUAUCCUUUGAACUCAUGUUAUUUGUUGGUACUAGGUUGAGUGGUAAUAUGAUCUCCUACCUUAUACUUAGAUAUUUCAUUUAUUAGGCUUCGCCUCACUCCUUUUUUUCUUUUUUUUUCUUUUUUGUUGUAGGAUGAUUCCCCUAAAGAUGGUGACGGAGGGGCCGAGUUGAUAUCGGAAGCCAUUAAUCCUUGAGUUGGAUGGUAGUUUAGUUAGUAUGGAUGUAAUGGUAUUAGGUGACCCCGAUCUUUCCUAGGACUAUAAAAUUUUUUGUGAUAAUUACUAUCGAUAUUGUAUAAAGCCAAAGACACUUUUUUUUUUAAUAAACUCAUGCAUUUUUCUAGUAAAGGAUGUUGUGAAAACUUUAUUGUCUUUUCCAUGCGUAAUUAUAACUAUGAGUAUAAAUGGAAAUGACAUGUGCCGCAUGUGAUGUUCCAAGGCGUCACAUAAUCCCCAACACUCAAAUUAGGGUCCAUUAAGGCAGUGCUUAAAACUAUGAUGCUCAAGUUCUAUUCGGCAGCACUUAGGCUCGGGUCCAACAAGAUCGUGUGUCAGUCCUCAAUGCUCGGGCUCGGCUCGUUAGUUAAUAAAAUGUUGUUCUUAUAAAAAUAAUUCUUUUUAUUUUCAUUUUAUAUUCAUUUGUUUUCUUUCUUUUUCUUUCUCCUUCUUCUUGGCUGGUUGCCGACCAUGAUGACGAUUGCGCCUGAGAACAAGCGAGAGAUGAGCUAGCCCAAGGCCAAGAAGACUUGAGAUUGCUGAUUUGGCAAGCUUGAAGUUGGUUGAUCAAGUGACGCUAAAGCUCCCUAGCGUUGGGCAACCUCGAGUUUCACCUCAUGGCUAGUCGCCAACUACCACCGUGGCGAGCGAUCGGUUGAGGAAGAAGAAAAAUAAAAAUAAAAUUAAAAGAGAAAAUAACUAAAAAUCUGAAUAUUUUGGCAUUUUCUAUAGGGAAAUCAAAUCGAAAAAAUAUUUUCUAGUUUAUCUUUAGGACUUAACCAAAUAUUGGAAAUAUUAUUCAGAUAUGUCAUAUUUUUUGCGAAACAAACGGUGCGUAAAUAUUUAGAUUUGAUAAUUGUCCAUGUUAAUUAGGUACACAUUAUCUCACUCUUUGUUUCGUUGCCGAACUGAUGCUAAUCUCUAGACGAAGCUUGACUAGUCUCAACUCAAUAGGCGGCUUGACUUUUGCGCUUCCUUUUCUUCUUUUCUUUUUUCUUUUUAACUCAAAACACUCAAAACUUUCCUGGUACACGACUGUCGUCGUGUUACAAUCACUUUCAAUAAUGAUGGCCAUCCGAGCAAGAUGAGGGCGACUGGUCCCCCUAGAAAUUGUCAUGACGUUUGACUUUCAUGAAUUGAAAUGACUUUUCUCUGUCAAGGAGAAAAAUAGUUAACUAGUCAAGAUCGUGCCACAUCUCUCCAUCCAUGUCCUCCACAUCCGGCCCCACCAAUCGGACUCCCCGACAAAAAAAAUCGAGGACACGUGGCUGGAUCUAGAAAGUCACAGGUUCGACUUGUCUACUGUUAUCACUGUCCUUUUGCAAUAAUUUUUUUACACCCGUCUAGCUGUUGUGAGCUCCUCUGACAUACUAAUUGUGUGGAUAUGGUGAACUUGGGACCUUCUAUAAUCUGUCCAUAUUAAAAAUUUAAAAUGGACAAAUUCCGCCUCUCAUUGUGGAAUUCCACCCACAUUUCUCGCAAACUUUCAAACAUUAGUUCCAGGUCGUGCAUUCCAAUUGAGCCUUGUCUGGUCAAAUAUCAAAGUACUCUAGAGAAAAAUUUUAAAAAAAAUUGUAAAAAAGAGAGAGAAGGAAAACGAUUCAGCCUUAUAAUAACUUGCUAGGAACCACGUAGUUAAUUAGAGCAUCAAGAAAUUAGAGGUAGCUUGUGUAGUUCUCGCAAGUUACUUGUAAAUUGCUUUAGAAGUACAAACUUAAUUGAUUUAUGAGCUUGCACCAUAUUUUAUGAGUUUCUGAAUAACCAACUUUUGUAUUCAUGCAACUCACUCCGCUGUGACUGAGUUGGUUCGGACGUUCCCUCCUCUUCCAAUUGGGGGGAGGUUUGAGUCACCACGAUUGCAUUUGCGCAACUUAAGUGCGGCGCCAUGAGAGGUGGGUCCCCGUGCUAGCGUCACCGUGGGUUUACGUCGCCAGCUGCCGGUUGUACGGCGAUUCUCAAGUCAUAAAAAAAAAAGAAAAAAGAAAAUUUGUAUUCAUGCUUGUAGAUUAUAAUAAAAUAAUUGGUUGUGGUGGGCAAUUGAGAGUGACACCGUUUUCGCCUUUUAUUUUUUGUAAUAUGUGAAGUGUUGUUCUGUUUUUUGUUUUCGUCACCCUCCCACUUGUGCUAUAUUUGUUAGGUCUCCUCGCCAGGAGUUCGUCACUUUAUGUUAUUGACCUCUUAAUUAAAUACAACAAUACCUUCAAGGACUGCUCUUCAUAAAGGCGCGGAUUGGACGGCCGGUGACCGAGAUAGCAGCCUCCGCCCCUCCCUCGGUCUUGCCCUUUGCAUAACUUUUAGAAAACAUGCGUGAUUAGAGGAUCAAUAGUGACUUAAUUCUAACCCGUAUCGAUGUUACCCGUUUAGCAUCUCUUAGUAAAUGUAAAUAUUGUACGCGGAUGACAGCAUUUUGAAGAAUUUACAAUUGGUGUUCUUUUAUUAAAUAUGGUUGAUAUCAUGAAAAAUCUUAGAUUGAUACAUUUGCGACAAACUUAUCCCAAACUAUUUUUUUUACACAAAAACCGUAAACUAGUAUAUUUGUAAUUUUACCUAAAACUAUUUUUUUUUAUCGUCAAAAACCUCAAACUGAUAUAUUUGUAGCAAAAUUACUCUUUACUAACUAGUGUUAAAUUAUACUAAUAUGAAUUGGUACAUCUAUGACAAACGAAGGGUAAAAUCCUAAAUUGGUACACUCAUUAACUAUCAUAUGUCAUUUAACUCAGUAAUUUAAUAGUACAAUUUAAGGGAAAUUAACGGAGGGUCAAUUUGUCAUAGGUGUAUCGGUAUGAGAUUUUUGAUAGCAAAUGUAGGAGUUUUACAUGGUAUUAAACUCUAUUGCAUAUGAUCAAAAGUCCUAGUUUCUACUAUUUUUGUCGACACAAUACCUUAAAAAACCUCAAACUUAAGCUCUGAUCCUAAUUCUAUCUUUUGUGUUAUAAGACCUCCAACUUUAGAUCAUGUCCCAAUUCCACCCUAACAUACAUAUUUUAGAAAACCCCAUAUUUUAGUUAUAGUCCCAAUCUUAUCUAAACAUCUGUUAUCUCAUAAAAUCCCUCAAAUUUAGGUCAAGUACCAAUUCCAACCUAAACGUUAUUUUGUCUUAUAAAAAGAAUCCUAGCUUUAGGUCCAAUUUCAUUUUCACUUUUUUUUUUUAUCUCAUAAAAGAUUACCAACUUUUACUUGAGUCCCAAAUCCACUCUCCAUUAACCCUCCAUCAAAAUUGCCCUUAGUGAUUUUGUGCUCGGUUUUUGAUCUCGCGUGCUUGGAAAUAUUUCAUUUCUCUUGAACAACUUGUGCUUGAGGGUUUUCCAUCUCUCGAUGUCAGCAGGAAAUUUUGCACGAAGGGUUAAUGGUGGCAAAUAUGCGACUCAAGUAAAAAUUUAUAGUUUUUUCAUCAGACUAUAAAAAUUUUACGGUAAUAUUGAGAGUGGAUAGGCUUUUCAUAAGACAAGAAAAGGUUUAAGGUAGAAUUAGUAUAUUAUUUAAAAUUGAAUUGUGAAUGGCUAUAAAAUUAGUGAUUUUUUUUAUGAGAUAAAAGGUAAAAUUAGGAGAAAAGCUAAAGUUAGAGAGUUUUUUUUAGGGUAUCAAACCUAUUUUUGUCAAUCAUAUGAUGUCAACAUUAUCUUUGUUUUUGUUUUUCUUUCAAUUGUCCAUUUGGUCGGUUCUUUUCUAUUCUUAUUCUCAAACUUUUGCCUUGACUCAUUACAAGUGUGAGAAUUGAAACCACAUUUGAUACUAUAUUGUCCCCCGGUAGGCAUUCAAAACCCCCAUCUCCCGCUUCUCAUGUAAGUUAUGAAUGGAGCCUUCGUGUCGUGUCCGACACGCUCGAAGAUGCGGUCAAUACGUGUUCGAAAUCCGACACGUGAACAAUUCUUAUUGACACAUUCUAACACACAAGUCCGAGAGAGAGGAUCGUUGAAGAAAACAAUGGCAAGGGAGCGAAGGCAACGGCAAGGCCACGACGGUGAGAGAGGGCUAGAGGAAGAGUAGAGACCGAGAUGACCUAAAGAGAGGAUCGUGACUGCAAUGGAGGGCCGGUGGCGAGACUGCACCUAUGUAGGAGGAAGGGUUGGAGGUGAGGCGGCAAGCGAUUAUGACAAGGCAAUCAAGAGAGAGAAGAGAUUGAGAGGUGGAUGGUCGUGCGAGGAGGAGGGGAAGGCCAGGGCUAGGGUUUUUGAAGGGGGAAAAUCAAAAAAUUAAAAACAUGAUUUUGAUGGGACAUUAGGGUUGUGCAAGGAGGAGGGGAAGGCCAGGGCUAGGGUUUUUGAAGGGGAAAACUCAAAAAAAUUAAAAACAUGAUUUUGAUGGGACAUUGCUGUGAUUUCUCCUUUAUGGAGAGGGGGAGCGUGUCGGGAGGUGGAGGGGGAGGGCAGAUAAAUGAGGGAAAGAUGAGUGAAAUAAGUUUGUUGGGGGCACAAAAGGAGGGGUUGGUAGGACCUGAGCAAGUCCUUAGACUGCUCCGUCUGGUCGGAAAUAGCCCACGGACGUAAAAUGUGGGCAAUGUUAAUCGUGGGAGAUCAGACCACCCUGUGUAAGGAUCUCCUGGCUCAGAUUCCCGCGAUGCCUUUCUCCUAACAUAUUAGGCUGGGUACAGGAAAAUGAUGAGUGAAAUAAGUUUGUUGGGGGGGGGGGGCACAAAAGGAGGGGUUGGUAAGGGUUGGCAUGGACCCCAUGGAUUUUUAUUUUUUUUUAAUCAAAAAAAUAAAUAAGGAAGGCCAGAAAGUGGGGGAAGAAACUAUGGAAAGAGAGUGAAGUAAAUGUGGGGGUGAGGGUUGGGGUGGACCACGGGGGUCUUUUCUUAUCAGAAAAAUAAAUAAGAAAAACUAUAAGGUGAUUUCGGAAAAUGAAAGUGUUGAAUGUUGAAUAAUAAUAAAAUUUGAUAAUUGUAAAAGAUUAUAGAUUUAUUUAAAUAAGUUAAUUCUAAUUUUUCUUAAUCAUUAGUUUUAUCAAUAAUUUUUGUUAGAGUUAGAAAUAUGUUCGUAUGGAUGCUAUAUGGCAUAUGGAAAGGGUGGCCUCACUUCUGGCGUUUCAUGUAUGGAAAGAGUGAUUAUUAAUGGCGCAUUUGGUAACGUUUUUGUUUCGGAGGACAAUUUUUGAAUAGAAAUAGUUUUUUUUUUUGUUCUAGGGAAUAAUUUUUGAGUAUAAGAAUGUGUUUGGUAACUGCAAACAAUUUCUACUCUAAAAAUAGAAACGCGCUUGGUAAACUUGUAUAAUUUCUUUGUUUCUUUUAAUUUUUUAAUAUUUUUAAUAUUUUUUUUCUUUUUUUCUUUUUUCUUUUUCUCUUUGGUCGGUUGCUGGCUAUGGCGAUGUCCGUUGAGCCUUGUCCAGGCAACGCGAGGUUCGCCUCGUGCCGAUUGGGGAGGUCAAGGCCUCUUGGCUUUGUCUGGGCUAAGCGAGGUUGACCUUGCCCAGCCACCGGCGAGACUCGGCCUCGCUGGGCCACCGCUAGGCGACUCUGUCCUGGAGGUGGCUCGGCGAGGUCGAGCCUCAUGCGGCCAUGGCGAGGCUCGGCCUCUCUGGGGGCUAGCGACACUCCGGCGAGGUCGUCGGCUCUCGUCUAGCCAGUUGCCGGUGUCAACUAUGGCUAAGGCUGAUGACNNNNNNNNNNNNNNNNNNNNNNNNNNNNNNNNNNNNNNNNNNNNNNNNNNNNNNNNNNNNNNNNNNNNNNNNNNNNNNNNNNNNNNNNNNNNNNNNNNNNCGUCUGGUCGAAAACAGCCCAUGGACGUAAAAUGUGGGCAAUGUUAAUCGCGGGAGAUCGGACCACCCUGUGUAAGGAUCUCUCGGUUCAGAUUCCCGCGAUGCCCUUCUCCUAACGUAUUAGACUGGGUACAGGAAAAUGACGAGUGAAAUAAGUUUGCUGGGGGCACAAAAGGAGGGGUUGGUAAGGGUUGGCAUGGACCCCAUGGACUUUUAUUUUUUUAUCAGAAAAAUAAAUAAGGAAGGCUAGAAAGUGGGGGAAGAAACUAUGGAAAGAGAGUGAAGUAAAUGUGGGGGUGAGGGUUGGGGUGGACCACGGGGGUCUUUUCUUAUCAGAAAAAUAAAUAAGAAAAACUAUAAGGUGAUUUCGGAAAAUGAAAGUGUUGAAUGUUGAAUAAUAAUAAAAUUUGAUAAUUGUAAAAGAUUAUAGAUUUAUUUAAAUAAGUUAAUUCUAAUUUUUCUUAAUCAUUAGUUUUAUCAAUAAUUUUUGUUAGAGUUAGAAAUAUGUUCGUAUGGAUGCUAUAUGGCAUAUGGAAAGGGUGGCCUCACUUCUGGCGUUUCAUGUAUGGAAAGAGUGAUUAUUAAUGGCGCAUUUGGUAACGUUUUUGUUUCGGAGGACAAUUUUUGAAUAGAAAUAGUUUUUUUUUUUGUUCUAGGGAAUAAUUUUUGAGUAUAAGAAUGUGUUUGGUAACUGCAAACAAUUUCUACUCUAAAAAUAGAAACGCGCUUGGUAAACUUGUAUAAUUUCUUUGUUUCUUUUAAUUUUUUAAUAUUUUUAAUAUUUUUUUUCUUUUUUUCUUUUUUCUUUUUCUCUUUGGUCGGUUGCUGGCUAUGGCGAUGUCCGUUGAGCCUUGUCCAGGCAACGCGAGGUUCGCCUCGUGCCGAUUGGGGAGGUCAAGGCCUCUUGGCUUUGUCUGGGCUAAGCGAGGUUGACCUUGCCCAGCCACCGGCGAGACUCGGCCUCGCUGGGCCACCGCUAGGCGACUCUGUCCUGGAGGUGGCUCGGCGAGGUCGAGCCUCAUGCGGCCAUGGCGAGGCUCGGCCUCUCUGGGGGCUAGCGACACUCCGGCGAGGUCGUCGGCUCUCGUCUAGCCAGUUGCCGGUGUCAACUAUGGCUAAGGCUGAUGACUGGCAAAAGGAAGAAGAAGAAGAAGAAGAAGAAGAAAAGAAAGAGAAAAUAGAAGAAGAAAAAUGAUAAGAAAAAAAAGUGUUUUUCGAAAGUGUUCUCGAGAAUAAGAAAUAAGUUUUUUUUUUUAAUUUCUUAUUUUUGUUCCAAAGUUGCUCUCACAAUAAAAAAAAAAGACCAGAAUAAAAGUAUAAACAAAUGAGUUUCUAUUCUUUUUUGGUUCUCUGGAACAAAAUAAUAAAAAUUUAUAUUCCAGGAAAAAAAAAUAAUUUUAAACGAACACACCCUAAGAUAUCUUUUGUAUUCCGGGGAAGUAGUUCAAUUGACGUGAGCCCGUGCGUCUUCCCUACAUGGGAAGGGUCGUCACUGGGUCUCAUCUGACCUAAGCAAGUGCGUCUUCACAGCUUUUACCGCUCCCCUCCUACACUUCGUAGCUACCGCCACUCCCCUCCUAUAAAUCUCGGCUCGCCCGACGCCUUCGCCAUCGUCUCGGUGCAGUGCAGGGAACGAGCGAGCUCGAGCUAGACGACGGCAAUGGCGGCUUCGACGACGACGGUGAGGAGGAUCAAGCUGGGGUCGCAGGGCCUCGAGGUGUCGGUGCAGGGGCUGGGCUGCAUGGGCAUGUCCGCCUUCUACGGCCCUCCCAAGUCCGACACCGACAUGAUCGCCCUGAUCCACCACGCCGUUGGCUCCGGCGUCACCUUCCUCGACACCUCCGACAUCUACGGCCCCCACACCAACGAAACCCUCCUCGGAAAGGUCGGUUCUCUCUCAGUCUCUGUUUUGCCUCCGCAUGAAUUAUAUGUGCUUAUAGUGUUACGGAAUUUAGCUUCAUCGAGCAGAGUGCUCUGAUCCUGCGCCUUGGUUUUCUGAUUUCGGGGUUGAUUUUGAGCAGGCACUGAAGGGAGGGGUGAGGCAGAAGGUGGAAUUGGCGACCAAGUUCGGAAUCAGCUUCGCGGACGGGAAGAGGGAGGUCCGGGGCGAUCCGGCGUACGUGAGGGCGGCUUGCGAGGCCAGCUUGAAGCGGCUUGACAUCGAUUGCAUCGACCUCUACUACCAACAUCGCAUCGACACUCGCGUCCCCAUCGAAGUCACUGUAUGGAUCCCCCAUCAAACUUUCACCUCGCUUGAGACUUUCUCCGAGCCAUAUGAUUAGUUGCUAAGUUAGAUUGGUGUUGAUGAUGCAUCGUCAUGUUGUUACAAGUUUGUUGAAAUUUGUUAAAUGACACUUAAGUUCGGCUGAUAGCAGAGUUCAAGAUGCGGCACGUUGUUGUUCAAGGGGUUGUGGAAUUUAGUAGUUUAGUGGCUUGAGUUUUCGUUUUGUGGGCAUCUUUUACAAGUUAAGGGUCAACAAGCAUGAAAAUUAUUCAAAAUCUUCCUUUGAGAUGAAAGUGCUCCAGGGUUCAUCCAGAAUUUAUAUACGGGAAUCACAUAUAAAGUUGUUCCUGGACUUUAUGUGGAGACAUUUGAUUCUUGACAUAUUGUGAAAUAUGACAAGUACUUGGAAUACUUCUUUUAUUUGCUCUCUUCUGUGAGAGAUUCAAGAAAUCAACCUCCGUUAACUCAAUACCUUGUGACUUUUUUGUCGCAUUGAGAUGCAUGAUAAUAGAGGGAUCUAGACGCAUAAAAAGCUAAUGACAUGCAUAAUUUUCUGGAUCUUAACAUGUAAGAUCUUGAUGUUGUUGUUCUGUCAUGUGAAUAUGCACAGAUCGGAGAGCUAAAGAAGCUCGUUGAAGAAGGUAAGAUAAAGUACAUCGGUUUAUCCGAGGCCUCUGCAUCAACAAUCAGAAGAGCACAUGCUGUUCAUCCCAUCACAGCAGUGCAAUUGGAGUGGUCGCUUUGGUCAAGAGAUGUGGAGGCAGAGAUCGUUCCAACGUGCAGGUAGGAUAUCACUCUGUUAAUUGUUUAUGCAGCAACAACAGCUUCCUUCUGACUCUGCUUUUCCUUUAAAAUGCUGACUAGGGAGCUUGGCAUUGGAAUUGUUGCCUACAGUCCUUUAGGACGAGGAUUCUUUUCUGUUGGCUCCAAGUUGGUGGAGAAUAUCUCUAAGGAUGACUUCAGACAGGUCUGUUCCUGCUUGUCAACAUAAUUAGAUGUUUACAUUGACUGUCAUUCUUAUUGAAGUGCUGGAAACCUGUUCUUGUGGUAUAAAGAAAAAGUAUCUGGAUGGGAUGAAUAAAACUUGGUGACACGAAUGCUUCGUGUUCUUAUAUGUCUUUAAUCCAGCACUUGCCAGACAUCCCACCUCUCUUGAUUCUAGAUAAAUGUAAAAUCACAAGUAACGGCUUUAAUGAGCCUGAAAGAGGCAGUUUCCUGGAUUCUCGUGCUUUUGGGAAUGAAUACAUAUAGGUUUAUAUGUAAGUUGCUCUGUUUCCCAGCCUUCCCAACAUUUGCUUAUCACUAUCCUUUCCCCACUUUCCACCCACCCUUUUUCUCUCAUCUUUCUUCACAAGAAUAGCGAUAUUUCCUCGAAAUAACUGACGCCAGUAUCGGGCUUUGGCCCUCCGUCCUUUUUCAUUCUCAUCUUUCUUCACAAGAUAAACUAUAUCUUGACACAACCAUUUCUUGAGCGCGGACUCCCGACACCCUUCUUAUGAGAGUUUUGGAUCAAGUUCCCAUCUGACAUAAAGCCAAUUGUGUAUUACUCCCCGCCAUUAGCGUUUGACUAGCGAUAGUGCUGGGCAAGUGAAGUAGCUAUUUUUCUUUGUAGCUAAAAGAGCUCUGCGUCUGAUAACAUUCUUCUACUCAUCAUCUACAUUUCUGAUUUUUUAUUUUAUGUGACUAAUGGUAUCAUCACACGUACAAAACUUAGAUUGUCGAGUUUGUUUCUGUUUUCACAUCCUACAUCAAGCCCAUCAGCCUUGUGUGGUAGUUGCUAGAUCACUUCGCUUGACGUUUCUAAUGCUUAUGAUUUGGGACAUGAUAUUUUAAUCAUUUCAAGAUAAUUUAUAACUGAUCAUGCUUUUUCAGAUACACAACGAUUGCACACUUCUAAAUGCUUAUUAUGUCAAGUAACAAGACAAUCCGAUGGCAUGCAAUGCAACCACUUUUGCACUUGUUGCUGUAGAAUUUAGCCUUAAGAGGAAAAUGAUAAUUUCUCAUAUGCUCUCUGCUGAGACAUUGCUCUAUGUUAUGCAGUAUCUACCAAGGUUCCGGCCAGAGAACUUGGCUCACAACACGAAGUUAUUUGACCGAGUGAAUGAAAUUGCGCAAAGAAAGGGAUGCACCACAUCGCAGUUAGCCCUGGCCUGGGUACACCACCAGGGUGACGACAUUUGCCCGAUUCCCGGCACAACCAAGAUCGAGAAUUUCAACCAGAACAUUGGAGCUCUGUCAGUGAAGCUUACACCGGAAGAGAUGGCCGAGCUUGAAUCGAUUGCUUCUGCGGACAAUGUCAAGGGUGGCAGGUACGAUGGAAGCAUGUCUACAUGGGAAAACUCCGACACUCCACCCCUUUCUUCUUGGAAACCUGCCUAGAAGCGUGUCUGCUUCUGUUGCUGCAUCUUUGAUGUGCAGAGGUUGAGCAUUUGCCGCUGAAGUAAUUUGAGUUUAUGUUGUGUGGCUGUUAUAAGUAUGUGUAAUAAGAGAGUGACUGUUUUCAUUUUGUACAUGUGACAUUCACUAUGAUAAGAUUAUGGAUGUGUACUAACCUUACUGGGGAAAGAUCACUCGAUAAACACGAGAGCGAGUUGAAUACGAACUGAGCCUGCCGUGUCGACUUUAUUGGGGUGACUUUUAGAAUCUGAGAAAUCGGGAUUUUGAAGAAUUCAAACUCAGUCGUACAUACUAGAGUGGUAUUCUCCACCAACCAUGAGUUCAAUCUCUUAAGACUGGAUGCUGCACAUAGAUGCAAAGCUUCGCUUUGUGUUUGGUUUGGUAGCGAAGUUAAGGAACAGUAAAAUGUUACCGGAUGUUCUCGCGAAAACGAAGUUGGGGAUAAAAUGCUGGCGCGGAUGAUAUGAGCGUCGGGGAAAUCGAGGGUUUCUUGUUCAAGUUUCACCACCUACGGUUCAUGAGCUUUUAUGUAGCUCGAUACCUUCGCUCAAUGCCUCUGCAUUAUUAUAAAACAGUCGGAGAUAUUGCGCAAGUUUCCUAAAAUUAAAAACGACACUUCUAUUGUUUUUUAUUUGGAGUUAGAGUGGUGCAAUGUUGUUUUGUUUUGGUUUAGGAAAAUAACGCAAAUAGUCACUACACUUUGGUCCAAUGUGUUAUGUUCUUACUGAAUUUUUAACUUGUUUAAUAUGGUUGUCGAGCUUUUUGUAUAUGUUUAAUUUAAAUCCUAGGCUAGAUAAAUCCAAUGAUGCCGUGUUUGGUCGGUUCGAAGAUCGUUGCUAUAUGGGAUAAUGAUAGGAUAAAAAUCCCAUCUAAUAUUUCUUGACGUCUGGAUAUAACAUGAUUCAAAUAAUUUUUUUUUUAAACGAGUGUUUGAUUUGUAUAAUUAAAAUUAAAAAUAAACCAUGGAAGUCGUGAAUACUAUUCAUCCUUUCACAAUCUUCAUCCAUAUCAAGCACCCCCGUUCCAUGUGACUUCAAGGACGCUCGCUCCUUCUGCAACACCCCUUUCGCUGCCCUUGAUCAACUUGAUGGAUUACGCUCGCUCUGCCUUUUGACUUCGCCACAUUGAGAGGCCCUUGGGUUUGAGUUCUCCGCUGGUCUAGCCAUCUUUAUUUUCAACGCCUUUUCCUGCGAUGAAUCCAUCCCCCUCGACGAGUGUGAAUGCCGCGUUGAUUCCCUGUUACCGUGCUCCGACUUGUUCAGUCGCUUCAACAGCUUCCCCCGAGACAGCGUGCGGAUCCGGUUUAUGAGUGGUAGCAGCAUCGGUACUACUCGCUCCGAGUGACGUGGUUGAGGAGCUCUAUCACCUUGGCUGCCGCCUCUUUCGGAUCAUCUUCUUCACAGAGGAGGUGUCCAGCUUUGAUCGGGAUCACAAAUUUCCCUACUAAAAUGAAGUUGAGUGACACAAGAAAGAGGCAGGGCUGACGAGCUCCGCGAUACUCAUGCUCAUGCUCUAAUUUUGUGGUGGUCAUUUUAGCGAGACAAAUUGGAACAAGAGAGAGAUGAUGGUGGCACUGGUCAAAAGCGAGGAUAAGCUAUAAAAAGCGCCCCGCCGCCCGGGGGGGGGGGGGGGGGGGGGGGGGGGGUCAGUUUUUCAAAUUUCACAUAUUUUAUCUGGAUUUAUAUCACUUUCUAGAUGUGAUUUUUUAUCCGUGCUAUAUCCUAAUUUCACAUUACUCUAGACACCAUAUAGGAUUAAACUUAUCAUAUUAGAGUUUUAUCCAGCCCUUCAAAUGCAGUCUUAUGAGAUAGAAUGCAAUGAUAUAAUCUGUGAACUAAAUUUAAACAUUUAUUAAAAGUUUACGAACGGAAUUUCACAUUUUGAUUGUUAAGAUGCAUGAGUGAGUUAUGUUAAAAUAAUCACACAAUAUAUUGAUAGCUUUAAAAAUGGGCUUUCUCUUGGUGAUGACGUUGAUCCAUAUAGAGAAAUUAAUGAGAGGGUUUAUUUGGCCUAACUAAAUGGGAGGCUAUAUCAAUGGGAGGUUUUUCAUUGUAACAUUCCCUUGUGCUUGGAAUUUGUUUUUUAGUAAAGGAUUUUAUUAGCGUAAUAAUAGUCUUUGGGUUAUUAUGUGAAUAACAAUUUAUUGUGAGUCACAAAUUUUUUAAAGUAAUGAACCCCAUAAUAAUUUCAAUUAUUUGUUACUUGAUUUUUUGUAGUUUAGAAUAAAAAUUAUCACCAAGUUAUUUCUUUUUAACAAAUAUAUUGCUCUAACUGUUGUUUUCAAUUAAGUUUGCAUCGGAGAAGAGAUUAUUUUGUUUUGCUACGCUUGUCGGAUAUUGCACAGGAUAUUGUCAUUUUCUUAGCACUAGCAACGUUGCGUUCAGACAAGGCGGCAUGGAAUUAUUUGCUCAGCUGCACAUCACACGACCAUACAUUCAUGGACUGUUCCUCAGGAAAGCAUAUAGACAUGUGGCAGAUGCAGAACAUUUCACGAGAUUAAAAAAAAGAAAAUAAUUUUUAAAAAACAAUACUUUCGACUUCAAAACGUGCCAAUCGAACGCCUGCUACUCCCGCCUAUAAAGCUCGGCUCACCCAACGGCUUCGUUGUCGUCUCGAACUGUCCAUUCUCCAUUCUCUGUUCUUGCAUCGACCUCGAGCUAGACGAUGGUGGCAAUGGCGUCGUCAGACGGUGAGGAGGAUCAAGUUGGGGUCGUAGGGUCUCAAGGUCUCGGCGCAGGGGCUGGGCUUGCAUGGGCAUGUUGGAAGAUAUGCGGAUUGCCUGAUUUGAUUUGAUCUUAAUUGAUCAUGAUUAAUCACGAUCUUCAUGUAUAUGUAAAUUAAAAAUUAGAUCUAGAUCUCGAUUGAUAAUCCAGAUCAUUUACUUCCUUAUUCAAGAUAGAGCUUGUAUUAUAUCUCUGCAAAAUUGUACAUUCAGAUUGUAAUAGUGAUAAUACAGAAAAAUCUCCCCACAUCGAUUCCCAUUUUCCUCUCCAAACUUCAUCCGUUCUUCCUUCACUCUUGCCUUCUUUCAUGGUAUCAGAGCAGCUUUGAUCUCUGACUCGCUUCCGUUCCAAACCACUGCUGAAGAAAAUUCUCAACCUGCAAAAGGGUUGAUCUUUCGGCAUUAGGCAUACUCUCGAAGGAAGAAAUUUAAAUUAUCUUACUAUGGCCUCUCCGCAGGACUCCAGUCUGGCUGCUGACGACAGGACCACCGAAGAAAGUAGUCCUCAAGCUCCACAGAUCCAGAAUCUCCCUGCAGUAAUACCAGUAUCCACCCAACCCCAGCAGUGGCGGCCCACGCAGGCUCAGUUUCAAUUGGGGCAACCCACGACGGGUCAACCAUACUAGUGGAUCCCCUAUCCACUCUAUUUUGGGCCAAGCCCAAAUUUCUCAUCGCCUUUUUUCGUGGGCCACCAGAAUCACAAUGGAGGCCCGCCAGCCACGAAUGGGGCAAGCCCAUCCAUCGCGAGAGAGCAGACGGGCGGUUCAAGCGAAUCGGGUACGGGGCAUAAUCCCUACCCGGGACAUGUCAAUGCGGGGUAUCUAGUUGGAUUGAGCGAAUCGGGUCAAGGGACGAAUCCCUACCCGAAUUUCGCACCGGGUUUUCUGUCCAUUCCAGCGGCGGCGUUCACUGGGCGACUAGAAAUAGGCGAUCCUCUGUUUGUCUCCACCGCUGACGGAUCGGAGCUUUGACUGAUAAACCAGCAACUAACCGGACUAGAGACCUAUUCGAAGUGGUCACAGGAGCUCCGGCGGGCAUUGGUGACAAAAGACAAAGACGGAUUUCUCGAUGGGACAAUUUCCAUCCCCUCCGAUGAACGCCUAGCCGGACACUGGCGGAAAUGCAAUCAACUCGUCCGAAUGUGGAUCAGAAAUUGCAUAUCCCCAGAAGUCAUGGCUGGGCUUCCACCCACAGAGGAUGCCAAAACCAUGUGGGAAAACAUUCGAGAAAUAUACGGUAAAAUGGAUCAAGCAAAAGUUUUUAAUCUUAUGCAGGAAAUUAGCGAACUCAAACAGGGAAAUUCGACGGUCACGGCCUGCUUCAACAGGCUAUCGUCCCUCCUGAAUCAACUCGAAGCAGUAGAAGAAAAGCUCGAAGGGCCAGAAUCUACCCUCAAGCAGUACAAACAAAUCAAAGAGAGAGAAAAAGCCACGCGAUUCUUGCUGAUUUUAAACGAAUCGUACCUCACGUUUCGGUCACAGAUCCUUGUCAUGGAUCCCAUGCCACCGAUCGGACGUAUUUACAAACUGGCGAUGCAGGAGGAGAGUCAGCGACUCACAAUCACGAACAACGGUGAGAGCAUCGCUCUGGCUGCCCGCGGAGAGGGGAGAACCCUAACCCUAGCUCGUGAAAAUGAAAAGAAAAGCCCUUUAGGGUUCGACGAGCUCGAUUCGCGCGGGCUUAAAAGGGAUGGGAUGAACGGCCAGGAUUACAUGCAAGGAUCGAGCGGCUUAGAUUACUCCCGAAAAUAUGACGGCCCAGAUUACGCAUGGAGAUCCGACGGUCGUCAAGGAAUCGAAAUUGCGCCUGGAUUGGACGGUGGACAGCAGAUCGCGAUCAAAGGAACGGACGGCCAGAUCUUCACCACGUCAUCAAAGAAUUUCGCAAAUUUUUUUAAAGGAAAGGGGUAAAUUUUUUUGCGAUUAUUGCAAACGUACUAAUCAUACCAUUGACAGUUGCUGGAAAUUACACGGGAAGCCGGGAGAAAAGGAGAAAAAAAUUUCCACAGCUUAUCAAGUCACUGGACCAGCUGGUCCAAAAAUUGACCAGCCAAUCUCAUAUGGUCAAUAUCAGCAACUCAUGCAAAAACUACAGAAGAUGGAAAUUUCCAACAAAGGGGGCAAUUUCUCAGGUAUUUCACAUUGCCUAAUUAAUUCCAUUUCCAGGAAGGCGUGGAUUAUAAUUCUGGGGCAAGUGACCAUAUUAUACGCGACAAGGGAUUUUUUUUUCAAAUAUAAAUGAAAGUUUGAAUUUUCCUGUCUCCGUACAAUUACCCAACGGAAAUGUUACUCAUGUCAAAGUGAUAGGAACAGUGAAUCUCAGUCCUCAGAUUAUUCUCUAGAAUGUGCUAUAUGUCCCAGAAUUCCAAUUCAACCUCAUAUCUGUGUCUCAAGUCUGCAAAGAGAACUCAUGCCGGGUAAUAUUCAAUGCUGACACAUGUUUAUUUCAGGCCCUUUCGACUGGAAGACAGAUGGACUUGGGUAAUCUUUCUGAAGGACUCUAUUUCUGGACGAGUUUUCCAAGUAAUUUCAAUUUUCCAUGCAAUUCCUUGAAUAAAAAAUCAUUGUGUAAUUCAACUGCCAAUGAUAGAAAUUUGACUAUGCAUAUGAGAUUGGGUCACAGUGCUUCAUUUUCAUAUCAUGAAUGUCUUAUAUGUCCCCUUGCAAAGCAAUCUCGCACACCAUUUUCUUCUAGUACUUCACGGACUAGUCAAAUAUUUGCAUUACUUCACGUGGACAUUUGGGGACCUUAUCAUACAGUCAAUCAUGAUGGCUCCCGUUAUUUUCUUACGAUAGUAGAUGACUAUUCUCGGGCAACAUGGAUCUUCCUAAUACAAUAAAAAAAUUAGGUCUAUUCUCACCUGAAAAAUUUCAUUAUGCUAUCUAAGAACCAAUUCAGGAAAUCCAUUCAGCGGAUUCGCACAGAUAACGGGAGAGAAUUCUUCAGUCAUGAAUGCUCCCAGUUAUUCAAUUCUCAUGGUAUUCGACACGAAAGUUCCUGCAUUUACUCACCACAACAAAAUGGAGUGGUUGAAAGAAAGCAUCGCCAUCUACUGGAAGUGGCUCGUGCCUUGAAAUUUCAAGCAUCAAUUCCAGAAAGAUAUUGGGGUGACUGUGUCACCAUAGCAGCUUAUCUUAUUAAUAGAAUGCCUACUCGGAUUCUUAAUGGACAGAUGCCAUUCGAGCUGUUAUUUGGGAAGAAACCGGACUUGAAUCAUCUCAAGAUCUUCGGAUGUCUCUGCUAUGCUGCAAUCAUGGGGCCUCGAGAUAAAAUGAGCCCAUGUGCGCGGCGAUGCGUCUUUAUGGGAUAUCCCAAUCUCCAGAAGGGGUAUCGGGUGCUUGAGAUUUCCACAGGAGAAUUCAUAGUAAGUCAUGAUGUCAUUUUCCAUGAAACUACUUUUCCAUUUUAUGAAGGGGAAUCUUCACAUGGAGAUCCAAAGAUAACUUCCAGCCAUCAUAAUUUUCUCAAUGAUGAAGCACCAUACCGGGAUCUUUCCUAUGUACCAAUAGUACAGCCGAGGGAUCCUAUUCUUCCUACAGUCCCAGUUCUACAAGAUUCUAAUGGAAAUUCGAAUUCUUCAGAACAUAUUCAGGGAGAUAUCUUGGAGGAACCCAUUGCUGAUGCAGAAGUUGAUGACACUACAACAACUUCAUUACCAGCAACAUCACAGCCCACCACCGAAGCUGGACAUCCUAGGAGGUCUGAACGAGCUACAAGACCACCAACCCGGACGAAAGAUUAUGUCUGUACUACUCACAACUCUCCAAGUAUUCAGUAUCCAGUCUCUUCAUAUGUUUCCUUUGAUAGAUUGUCUCAAGAACAUAGAUGUUGUAUUAGUCGAUUGUUUGAAGAGAAAGAACCGUCCAGUUAUAAAGAAGCCUCCAAUAACCCAAAAUGGCAAGAGACCAUGAAGGCAGAAUUGAAGGCCCUUACUGAUAAUCAUACAUGGGAUCUUGUUCCAUUACCAGCUCAUCGUAAACCAAUUGGAUGCAAAUGGGUUUACAAAAUCAAGUAUCGGGCUGAUGGCUCCAUUGAACGGUACAAGGCAAGAUUGGUAGCUAAGGGGUUCACCCAAAGAGAAGGUUUUGACUACCACGAGACGUUCUCACCAGUUGCCAAAGAUGUUACAGUCCGUUCAUUCUUAGCUGUUGCUGCCAUCAAUGACUGGCACCUACACCAGAUGGAUGUCCAUAAUGCUUUUCUCCAUGGCAAUCUAGAUGAAGAGAUCUACAUGAAUAUUCCUCAAGGCAUACAGAGACAGGGGGAUAAUAAGGUGUGUCGUCUCCGUAAAUCCCUUUAUGGAUUAAAACAGGCAUCCGGACAAUGGUAUGCUAAAUUUGCCAGUGCUCUUACAACAGCAGGCUUCAAGCAAUCCAAGCAUGAUUAUGCUCUGUUCUAAAAAACUAAAGGUAUGUCAUCUAUCUAUUUGAUGAUUUAUGUCGAUGACAUACUUGUUAUGGGAAAUGAUAGAGCCUCUAUAGAGAAUUUCAAGGAAUAUUUGCAUGCUACCUUCCAUAUUAAAGACUUAGGAGCACCAAAAUAUUUCCUUGGAAUCGAAGUUGCUCGAUCUGACAAGGGAAUUUCCCUUAGUCAGCGGAAGUUCAUUCUAGAAAUCAUAUCAGAAGUAGGUCUAUUAGGAUGCAAGCUAGCUGUAAUUCCUAUAGAGCAAAACACUAAGUUGACCAUCGCAGACUAUGAUAAGGGAAUAUUUCGAAAUGAUGAUUCCUUACUCAGUGAUCCGUCAGGCUAUCAAAGACUUGUUGGGAAACUUAUAUACCUGACAAUGACUAGACCUGAUAUCUUAUAUGCGGUUCAGACACUUAGCCAGUUUAUGCAUCAACCAAAGCGUUCUCAUUUGGAUGCAGCCUUAAAGGUCGUUAAAUAUCUCAAGAAAUGUCCGGGGCUAGGGAUACUUCUCUCUAAGGAAUGUGACAUGAGGAUGACAGCAUAUUGUGAUGCAGACUAUGCAACAUGUCCGAUUAGUCGAAGAUCUGUUACUGGAUAUUGCAUUAAAUUGGGAGGAUCUCUUCUAUCUUGGAAAACCAAGAAACAAGCUACUGUGUCUCUGUCCUCAGCCGAAGCAGAAUAUCGAGCUGUGGCCAAGGCCACUUGUCAAGUAGUUUGGAUGCGAGGAUUACUCAAGGAUCUUGGAGUAGAAGUGCAAGGACCCACAAGGUUAUAUUGUGAUAAUGAUACAGCUCUUAAACUUGCAACUAAUCCUAUAGUACAUGAAAGAACCAAGCAUAUAGAAGUGGAUUGUCACUUCACACGGGAAAAGAUCCAGGAAGGAGUAAUUGAGACGAGGAAUUUGGACAACGGAGCAACCAGUAGACUUGUUCACCAAGCCCCUAUGUCAGAGGCAACAUGCAUAUCUAUUAAAAAAGCUAGGCGUCUUGGACAUCUACAAGCCACCAGCUUGAGGGGGAGUGUUGGAAGAUAUGUGGAUUGCCUGAUUUGAUUUGAUCUUAAUUGAUCAUGAUUAAUCACGAUCUUCAUGUAUAUGUAAAUUAAAAAUUAGAUCUAGAUCUAGAUUGAUAGUCUAGAUCAUUUACUUCCUUAUUCAAGAUAGAGCUUGUAUUAUAUCUCUGCAGAAUUGUACAUUCAGAUUGUAAUAGUGAUAAUACAGAAAAAUCUCCCCACAUCGAUUCCCAUUUUCCUCUCUAAACUUCAUCCGUUCUUCCUUCACUCUUGCCUUCUUUCAGGGCAUAUCUACUUUGCCGGCCCUCCCAAGCCCAACCCCGACACGAUCGAGCUUGUCCACCACGCCGUUGAAUCUGGCGUUGCCUUCCUCGACACCUCCGACAUCUAUGGCCUUAACGCCAAGGAAGUCCUCCUUGGAAAGGUCGGUAUUUAUUUUGUAGAUAUAAUUGAAGAUCUUGAUCGUGACGCCAAUCCUAAUUGCGGACUAAUUGAUUUGGUCAAUUUGUGAUUGUUUAGUGAAUAUGGAAAUUUUUGUAAUUCUUUAUAUAUUAUUUCAUUUUUUCUCUUUCAUUCUUACACUAUAAAUAGACCAAUGAACUAAUAUACAGAUCAAUCAAUAUACAACAAAAUUUUCUUCAUUUUCUCUUUUGUUUUCUAUUAUGUUAUCAGUGUCAUUCUUCCUCGCCUAGCUUCCCAUAUCUUAGAGUUGCCUUUCUUUUUUUCUUUGUUUUUUUUUUUUUUUUGGUUAUUGCAAGUCCUCAUCCUGCAAUACAAAUCAGCAAAUCGAUUAGGAAUUCAAUUUUUUUUUUCAAUACCAAGGCAAAAAAUAAGAACACUGAGAGCUCCAUGAUAGAGGAGACACCUACCUCACCUCAAAAUCAAGCCCCAUCGCCGUCGGAUUCGAUUAUGAUUUGGGACAAUAUAUUUUAAUCAUUUCGAGAUAAUCUUUAACUGAUCAUGCUCUUCCAGAUACACAGCAAUUGCGCACUUCCAAAUGCUUAUUAUGUCAAGUAACAUGACAAUCUGAUGGCAUGCAACGCAACCAAUUUUGCACUCGUUGAUGUAGAAUUUGGCGUUAAAAGGAAAAUGAUGGUUGCUCGUAUGCUCUCUGCUUAGACAUUGCUUUAUGUUAUGAAGUACCUACCAAGGCUGCGGCCAGAGAACUUGGCUAAUGCAAAGUUAUUCGACCAAGUGAAUGAAAUUGCACAAAGAAAGGGAUGCACCCCAUUGCAGUUAACCCUCGCCUGGGUACACCACUGGAGUGAUGACGUUUGCCCGAUUACCGGCACGAUCAAGAUCGAGAAUUUCAACCAGAACAUUGGAGCUCUGUCAGUGAAGCUUUCGCCAGAAGAGAUGGCCAAGCUCAAAUCGAUUGCUUAUACGGACAAUGUCAGGCGUGAGAAUUAAAACCACAUUUGAUACUAAAUUAUGCCUAGGUAGGAAUUCAAAACUCCACCUCCCGCUUUUCAUGUGGGAAGGUUGGCCCCACCUCGCGCUUAUGGAAAGAGUAAUCACGAAGACAUCACAAUAGUUCAAUUGACGUGAGCAGGUACGUCUUCCCUACAUGGUAAGGGUCGUCACUGGGCGUGCAAUUGACGUAAGCACGUGCGUCUUCACAGCCACUACCGCUCCCCUCCUACUCAUCGUAGCUUCUGCCACUACCCUCCUAUAAAUCUCGGCUCGCCCGACGACUUCGCCAUCGUCUCGGUGCAGUGCAGGGAACGAUCGAGCUCGAGCUAGACUACGGCAAUGGCGGCAUCGACGACGACGGUGAGGAGGAUCAAGCUGGGGUCGCAGGGCCUGGAGGUGUCGGCGCAGGGGCUGGGCUGCAUGAGCAUGUCCGCCUUCUACGGCCCUCCCAAGUCCGAGCCCGACAUGAUCGCCCUCAUCCACCACGCCGUCGGCUCCGGCGUCACCUUCCUCGACACCUCCGACUUCUACGGUCCUCACACCAACGAAAUCCUCCUCGGAAAGGUCGUUCUCUCAGUCUCUCUUUUGCCUCUGCAUGAAUUAUAUAUGCUUAUGGUUUUACGGAACUUAGCUUCAUCGAGCAGGAUGCUCUGAUCCUGCGCCUUGGUUUUCUGAUUUCGGGGUUGAUUUUGAGCAGGCACUGAAGGGAGGGGUGAGGCAGAAGGUGGAAUUGGCGACCAAGUUCGGAAUCAGAUUGGCGGACGGGAAGAGGGAGAUCCAGGGCGAUCCGGCGUACGUGAGGGCUGCUUGCGAGGCCAGCUUGAAGCGGCUCGACAUCGAUUGCAUCGACCUCUACUACCAGCACCGUAUCGACACUCGCGUCCCCAUUGAAGUCACUGUAUGGAUCCCUUAUCAAACUUUCACCUCGCUUGAGACUUUCUCUGAGCCAUACGAUGCAUCGUCAUGUUGUUACAAGUUUGUUGAAUUUUGUUAAAUGACACUUAAGUUCAGCUGAUAGCAGAGUUCAAGAUGCGGCACGGUGUUGUUCAAGGGUUGUGGAAUUUAGUAGUUUAGUGGCUUGAGUUUUCGUUUUGUGGGAAUCUUUUACAAGUUAAGGGUCAACAAGCAUGGAAAUUAUUCGAAAUCUUCCUUUGAGAUGAAAGUGCUCCGGGGUUCAUCCUGAAUUUAUAUACGGGAAUCACAUAUAAAGUUGUUCCUGGACUUUAUACGGAGACAUUUGAUUCUUGACAUAUUGUGAAAUAUGACAAGUACUUGGAAUACUUCUUUUAUUUGCUCUCUUCUGUGAGAGAUUCAAGAAAUCUACCUCCGUUAACUCAAUUCCUUGUGGGUUUUUUGUCGCAUUGAGAUGCAUGAUAAUUGAGGGAUCUAGACACAAAAAGCUAAUGACAAAAAUAAUUUUCUGGAUCUUAACAUGUAAGAUCUUGAUGUUGUUGUUCUGUCAUGUGAAUAUGCACAGAUCGGAGAGCUAAAGAAGCUCGUUGAAGAGGGUAAGAUAAAGUACAUCGGUUUAUCCGAGGCCUCUGCAUCAACAAUCAGAAGAGCACAUGCUGUUCAUCCCAUCACAGCAGUGCAAUUGGAGUGGUCGCUUUGGUCCAGAGAUGUGGAGGCGGACAUCGUUCCAACGUGCAGGUAGGAUAUCACUCCGUUAAUUGUUUAUGCAGCAACAACAGCUUCCUUCUGACUCUGCUUUUCCUUUAAAAUGUUGACUAGGGAGCUUGGCAUUGGAAUUGUUGCCUACAGUCCUUUAGGACGAGGAUUCUUUUCUGUUGGCUCCAAGUUGGCGGAGAAUUUCUCAAAGGAUGACUUCAGACAGGUCUGUUUCUGCUGGUCGACAUAAUUAGAUGCUCACAGUGACUGUCAUUCUCAUUGAAGUGCUGGAAACCUGUUCUUGUGGUAUAAAGAAAAGUUUCUGGAUGGGAUGAAUAAAACUUGGUGACACAAAUGCAUCACGUUCUUAUAUGUCUUCAAUCCAGCACUCGCCAGACAUACUACCUCUCUCGAUUCUAGAUAAAUGUAAAAUCACAAGUAAUGGCUUUAGUGAGCCUGAAAGAGGUAGGUUCCCGGAUUCUCAUUCUUUUGGGAAUGAAUACAUAUAGGUUUAUAUGUAAGUUGCUCUGUUUCCCAGCCUUCCCAACAUUUGCUUAUCACUAUCCUUUCCCCACUUUCCACCCACCCUUUUUCUCUCAUCUUUCUUCACAAGAUUAGCGAUAUUUCCUCGAAAUAACUGACGCCAGUAUCGGGCUCUGGCCUUCCGUCCUUUUUCAUUCUCAUCUUUCUUCACAAGAUAAACUAUAUCUUGACACAACCAUUUCUUGAGUGAGGACUCACGACACCCUUCUUAUGAGAGUUUUGGAUCAAGUUCCCAUCUGACAUAAAGCCAAUUGUGUAUUACUCCCUGCCAUUAGCGUUUGACUAGCGAUAGCGCUGGGCAAGUGAAGUAGCUAUUUUUCUUUGUAGCUAAAAGAGCUCUGCGUCUGAUAACAUUCUUCUACACAUCAUCUACAUUUCUGAUUUUUUAUUUUAUGUGUGACUAAUGGUAUCAUCACACGUACAAAACUUAGAUUGUCGAGUUUGUUUCUGUUUUCACAUCCUACAUCAAGCCCAUCAGCCUUGUGUGGUAGUUGCUAGAUCACUUCGCUUGACGUUUCUAAUGCUUAUGAUUUGGGACAUGAUAUUUUAAUCAUUUCAAGAUUAUUUAUAACUGAUCAUGCUUAUCCAGAUAGACAACGAUUGCACACUUCUAAAUGCUUAUUAUGUCAAGUAACAAGACAAUCUGAUGGCAUGCAAUGCAACCACUUUUGCACUUGUUGCUGUAGAAUUUAGCCUUAAAAGGAAAAUGAUAAUUGCAAUUGCUUUCUGCUGAGACAUUGCUCUAUGUUAUGCAGUAUCAUCCAAGGUUCCAGCCAGAGAACUUGGCUCACAACACGAAGUUAUUUGACCGAGUGAAUGAAAUUGCGCAAAGAAAGGGAUGCACCCCAUCUCAGUUAGCCCUGGCCUGGGUACACCACCAUGGUGACGACAUUUGCCCGAUUCCCGGCACAACCAAGAUCGAGAAUUUCAACCAGAACAUUGGAGCUCUGUCAGUGAAGCUUACACAGGAAGAGAUGGCCGAGCUUGAAUUGAUUGCUUCUGCGGACAAUGUCAAGGGUGGCAGGUAUGAUGGAAGCAUAUCUACAUGGGAAAACUCCGACACUCCACCCCUUUCUUCUUGGAAACCUGCCUAGAAGCGUGUCUGCUUCUGUUGCUGCAUCUUUGAUGUGCAGAGUUUGAGCAUUUGCCGCUGAAGUAAUUUGAGUUGAUGUUGUGUGGCUGUUAUAAGUAUGUGUAAUAAGAGAGUGACUGUUUUCAUUUUGUACAUGUGACAUUCACUAUGAGAAGAUUAUGGAUGUGUACUAACCUUACUGGGGAAAGAUCACUCGAUAAACACGAGAGCGAGUUGAAUAUGAACUGAGCCUGCCUUGUCGACUUUAUGGGGUGACUUUUAGAAUCAAUUGGGAUUUUGAAGAAUUCAAACUCAGUCGUACAUACCGCUGGAAAUAUGGCUUCGAAAUUGGGUAGAACAAUGAAAUCGGAUCGAGUAAAAUAACUCGGACUUUGAGGCGCGAUAUCACUUUCUUUAAGGAUUUAUUUACCCCACAACGUUGCUAAUGGUCACCAGCAAAAAUCCUCCAGGAUACAACAAAGUCUCGGAUGAGAAUACUAGAUAGCAAUUCAAGUAUUUCUCCAGGGUCUCUCUAAGAAACAAUCGAAAAAUUGGAUGCUGUUUUUCAGAAAGGAAUACUCGAAAAUGACACUCUUUUUCUUUCCGAAAAUGAUAGAUAUAUAUAUGAAACAGUCUUGCNNNNNNNNNNNNNNNNNNNNNNNNNNNNNNNNNNNNNNNNNNNNNNNNNNNNNNNNNNNNNNNNNNNNNNNNNNNNNNNNNNNNNNNNNNNNNNNNNNNNUUUUUUUUUUUUAUUUCUUAUUUUUGUUCCAAAGUUGCUCUCACAAUAAAAAAAAAAAAGACCAGAAUAAAAGUAUAAACAAAUGAGUUUCUGUUCUUUUUUGGUUCUCUAGAACAAAAUAAUAAAAAUUUAUAUUUCGGGAAAAAAAAUAAUUUUAAAUGAACACACCCUAAGAUAUCUUUUGUAUUCCGGGGAAGUAGUUCAAUUGACGUGAGCCCGUGCGUCUUCCCUACAUGGGAAGGGUCGUCGCUGGGUCUCAUCUGACCUAAGCAAGCGCGUCUUCACAGCUAUUACCGCUCCCCUCCUACACUUCGUAGCUACCGCCACUCCCCUCCUAUAAAUCUCGGCUCGCCCGACGCCUUCGCCAUCGUCUCGGUGCAGUGCAGGGAACGAGCGAGCUCGAGCUAGACGACGGCAAUGGCGGCUUCGACGACGACGGUGAGGAGGAUCAAGCUGGGGUCGCAGGGCCUCGAGGUGUCGGCGCAGGGGCUGGGCUGCAUGAGCAUGUCCGCCUUCUACGGCCCUCCCAAGUCCGAGCCCGACAUGAUCGCCCUCAUCCACCACGCCGUCGGCUCCGGCGUCACCUUCCUCGACACCUCCGACGUCUACGGUCCUCACACCAACGAAAUCCUCCUCGGAAAGGUCGUUCUCUCAGUCUCUGUUUUGCGUCCGCAUGAAUUAUAUGUGCUUAUAGUGUUACGGAAUUUGGCUUCAUCGAGCAGAGUGCUCUGAUCCCGCGCCUUGGUUUUCUGAUUUCGGGGUUGAUUUUGAGCAGGCACUGAAGGGAGGGGUGAGGCAGAAGGUGGAAUUGGCGACCAAGUUCGGAAUCAGCUUCGCGGACGGGAAGAGGGAGGUCCGGGGCGAUCCGGCGUACGUGAGGGCGGCUUGCGAGGCCAGCUUGAAGCGGCUUGACAUCGAUUGCAUCGACCUCUACUACCAACAUCGCAUCGACACUCGCGUCCCCAUCGAAGUCACUGUAUGGAUCCCCCAUCAAACUUUCACCUCGCUUGAGACUUUCUCCGAGCCAUAUGAUUAGUUGCUAAGUUAGAUUGGUGUUGAUGAUGCAUCGUCAUGUUGUUACAAGUUUGUUGAAAUUUGUUAAAUGACACUUAAGUUCGGCUGAUAGCAGAGUUCAAGAUGCGGCACGUUGUUGUUCAAGGGGUUGUGGAAUUUAGUAGUUUAGUGGCUUGAGUUUUCGUUUUGUGGGCAUCUUUUACAAGUUAAGGGUCAACAAGCAUGAAAAUUAUUCAAAAUCUUCCUUUGAGAUGAAAGUGCUCCAGGGUUCAUCCAGAAUUUAUAUACGGGAAUCACAUAUAAAGUUGUUCCUGGACUUUAUGUGGAGACAUUUGAUUCUUAACAUAUUGUGAAAUAUGUCGAGUACUUGGAAUACUUAUUUUAUUUGCUCUCUUCUGUGAGAGAUUCAAGAAAUCUACCUCCGUUAACUCAAUACCUUGUGACUUUUUUGUCGCAUUGAGAUGCAUGAUAAUAGAGGGAUCUAGACGCAUAAAAAGCUAAUGACAUGCAUAAUUUUCUGGAUCUUAACAUGUAAGAUCUUGAUGUUGUUGUUCUGUCAUGUGAAUAUGCACAGAUCGGAGAGCUAAAGAAGCUCGUUGAAGAAGGUAAGAUAAAGUACAUCGGUUUAUCCGAGGCCUCUGCAUCAACAAUCAGAAGAGCACAUGCUGUUCAUCCCAUCACAGCAGUGCAAUUGGAGUGGUCGCUUUGGUCAAGAGAUGUGGAGGCAGAGAUCGUUCCAACGUGCAGGUAGGAUAUCACUCUGUUAAUUGUUUAUGCAGCAACAACAGCUUCCUUCUGACUCUGCUUUUCCUUUAAAAUGCUGACUAGGGAGCUUGGCAUUGGAAUUGUUGCCUACAGUCCUUUAGGACGAGGAUUCUUUUCUGUUGGCUCCAAGUUGGUGGAGAAUAUCUCUAAGGAUGACUUCAGACAGGUCUGUUCCUGCUUGUCAACAUAAUUAGAUGCUUACAUCAACUGUCAUUCUUAUUGAAGUGCUGGAAACCUGUUCUUGUGGUAUAAAGAAAAAGUAUCUGGAUGGGAUGAAUAAAACUUGGUGACACGAAUGCUUUGUGUUCUUAUAUGUCUUUAAUCCAGCACUUGCCAGACAUCCCACCUCUCUUGAUUCUAGAUAAAUGUAAAAUCACAAGUAAUGGCUUUAAUGAGCCUGAAAGAGGCAGUUUUCUGGAUUCUCGUGCUUUUGGGAAUGAAUACAUAUAGGUUUAUUUGUAAGUUGCUCUGUUUCCCAGCCUUCCCACCAUUUGCUAAUCACUAUCCUCUCCCCACUUUCCACCCACCCUUUUUCUCUCAUCUUUCUUCACAAGAUUAGCGAUAUUUCCUCAAAAUAGCUGACGCCAGUAGCGGGCUUUGGCCCUCCGUCCUUUUUCAUUCUCAUCUUUCUUCACAAGAUAAACUAUAUCUUGACACAACCAUUUCUUGAGUAAGGACUCCUAGCACCCUUCUUAUGAGAGUUUUGGAUCAAGUUCCCAUCUGACAUAAAGCCAAUUGAGUAUUACUCCCCGCCAUUAGCAUUUGACUAGCGAUAGUGCUGGGCAAGUGAAGUAGCUAUUUUUCUUUGUAGCUAAAAGAGCUCUGCGUCUGAUAACAUUCUUCUACACAUCAUCUACAUUUCUGAUAUUUAUUUUAUGUGUGACUAAUGGUAUCAUCACACAUACAAAACUUAGAUUGUCGAGUUUGUUUCUGUUUUCACAUCCUACAUCAAACCCAUCAGCCUUGUGUGGUAGUUUCUAGAUCACUUCGCUUGACGUUUCUAAUGCUUAUGAUUUGGGACAAGAUAUUUUAAUCAUGUCAAGAUAAUUUAUAACUGAUCAUGCUUUUCCAGAUACACAACGAUUGCGCACUUCUAAUGCUUAUUAUGUCAAGUAACAAGACAAUCCGAUGGCAUGCAAUGCAACCACUUUUGCACUCGUUGCUGUAGAAUCUAGCCUUAAAAGGAAAAUGAUAAUUGCUCAUAUGCUCUCUGCUGAGACAUUGCUCUAUGUUAUGCAGUAUCUACCAAGGUUCCGGCCAGAGAACUUGGCUCACAACACGAAGUUAUUUGACCGAGUGAAUGAAAUUGCGCAAAGAAAGGGAUGCACCACAUCGCAGUUAGCCCUGGCCUGGGUAUACCACCAGCGUGAUGAUGUUUGCCCAAUUCCCGGCACGACCAAGAUCGAGAAUUUCAACCAGAACACUGGAGCUAUGUCAGUGAAGCUUACACCGGAAGAGAUGGCCGAGCUUGAAUCGAUUGCUUCUGCGGACAAUGUCAAGGGUGGCAGGUACGAUGGAAGCAUGUCUACAUGGGAAAACUCCGACACUCCACCCCUUUCUUCUUGGAAACCUGCCUAGAAGCGUGUCUGCUUCUGUUGCUGCAUCUUUGAUGUGCAGAGUUUGAGCAUUUGCCGCUGAAGUAAUUUGAGUUUAUGUUAUGUGGCUGUUAUAAGUACGUGUAAUAAGAGAGUGACUGUUUUCAUUUUGUACAUGUGAUAUUCACUAU
RNAcentral lists this long non-coding RNA (37896 nucleotides) under Eucalyptus grandis. RNAcentral describes it as "long non-coding RNA (EGRA_LNC004551)". Lineage: Eukaryota; Viridiplantae; Streptophyta; Magnoliopsida; Myrtales; Myrtaceae. The record is from RNAcentral.